CGUGUAGAUGUUGUCCCUGGGACAUCGUGUAAAUGUUGUCCCUGGGACAUCGUGUAAAUGUUGUCCCUGGGACAUCGUGUGAUAGCUUGUAAAUAAUGGAAUGAAAAUUAUUGAUUGUUAUUAACUUGUGAAAAAGAAGUGUAACAAAUCCACAUGUUAUGUUCUUACACCCUUACAGAAACUGUGACUCCUUCACAAUGUCAGGUAAUAGAUGGCCUAAUCUAUUUGCAGUGUGAGAAUUUCCCUCACAUUUAUCCAAUACCAAGCCAAAUCACUGGAAAAAUUUUGGAUGGGUCCACAAGAGCACAAAGUGCAUACUUUUUGAAGAAAAACAUCUUUCAGAUGUAUGAGAAAUUGAUUGGAGCCUGUCUGGAAAACGGCAGCCACUGGACCUUGUUUUUUUGUGACAUACCCAAGAGGACCAUAGUCUAUAUGAAUUCAUUUAGCGAGUCGGAGGUCAGAAAAAGUGCGGUGUUGAAAAACUGGAGGUAAUUAAUUAACAUAUUUAACAUAACAUAUUUAAUUUAAUUGAAAUCAUUACCGAACGUGGUUAUUGAUUUCUCUAUAUGCUUUUUAUUUGUAAUAACUGCGAUCUCUCAGCUCAUUUGCUUCAGCAAGAGGCUGCGCUGGAGAGUGGACCUUGUCACAUGUGAGCCACCCACAUCAACAGGAUGGGAACUCAUGUGGAGUGCAUGUCAUAAUGGUACUGAAAACUAUAGCUUUAACCUAUAUAAGUAAUGUUUACAUUUUUGCCUAUUCAGUUUUUAAAGCCUUAGAGGCAGGAUGGUAAAAUCUCAAUUUUUUUUGUAGAUUGAACCAUUUCAGCAGUAAUGCUUUGCUUUGGUUGCUCUGUUUUUUUUUUUUUUUCUCGGGGGGGGGGGGUUAAAAACAAACAAACAUUUCUUUGUUAAUCUAAUUCUUUUUGUUCUUUUUUUUUUUUUUUUUCUUCUUCGUCAAUUAUUAGUUUGCCCAAUCUCUCAUUGACGGUAAAACACAAGUGGAGGAGUACAACACUGAAAUCACAAAGCUCAGGUCCCGACUUUGCCACUACUUAUUUUCCUCAAUAGGUAAAGAUAAAAUUAGCUGCCUUCUUUUUCUCUAACAUUGGAAAAUGUAACUUGUACUUAAACAAAUUAUAUUUUGCAGAUCGAACUAGGAAGUGCAGUCAGUGCUGGUGUGUGAUUGCAGCCAAAGACCGGGUACACUAUGACAUGUCCUUAGCCAUAUAGAUUGUUUAUUUAAUGGACUUUGUUCAUUUGUUUUUUGUUUGUUUAUUUCUUCUUCUUUUUUUUUUUUUUUUUAAUUCACAGGUGCAGUGCCAGAAAUGUGGUGCAUACAAGCACAUGCGUUGUUCAAAGUCUGUUUGUGGCAUCUGUGUCUUCUGUGAGAGUAAGUCACAAUAUAACUAAACAAUGUCCAAAAAUGUUUAAAGUGAAAUUUUUUUUCGUAAUUUUGCCUUUGCACACCAGGACUGUGUAAUUAAAGUGGACGUUUCAAGAUCCAGUUUUUACACAAAACUAUUUUAGACAUAACUGUGUCGUAUUGUGGGGAUUUCUCUUCACAAUUAAAUUGAUAUAGUGCUGUUUAUAUCAUUCUUCUUUAUGUAACAGCACAGUGCAGCACAGCAGAGGGAAAGGAGUUGUGCAGCAUAGUAGGUGACUAUACAGGAGGAGCAAUAGAAGUAGCCAGUGAAGAAUGUCAUCAGGGAAAGCAUCAGGCAGCGAAUGACAAAGGAAAAGUUCCUAAGGGAGAGAACAUCUGCAGCAAAUCGACAAGUAACAGUGAGAUAGGAAGACUGACAGUCAGAGAUGAAGGUACACAGACUGAAGACAACGAAAAAGAAGCAGAAGUAUACGGCACAAGUCUGAGUACAGAUAAUGCUGCUGCUGAUGAUGUUGACAGGAUCGAUGCAGAUACAGAAUUCCAAACUGAUUCAGAAGGAACUAGUACAGUUUACAGAGUGCAUGGUCGCUUAUCUGUACCAAGCUCAAAAAAGAAAACCUACACAAUAACAGAAGACGAGAUCAAGCGCAGAAUCAACGCAGAGAACAUGUCAGUUCAUGUUUUCAGAGGUUUGAUUGGGGUAGGUAUACAUUUCGUGAUUUUGAUGUCACCUGAAAUAAAUCCGGGUUACUCGUAUCAAUGAAGUGACAAUGUGGCUGGAAAUUGUGCAUUUGCUGCAACAUAUACACAAUUACACCAUGUAAACAAAAGCAUUUAACUUUGUGCGCGCGUGUGUGUGUCUCUCUCUGCUCUUUUGGUGUUUGCACUUUUUCUUUUUUAGGGCCGUAAAGCCAAACUGCCCGCAAUGAUUCUUGACAGGCCUAAGAAGGCCAAAACUAAAGUAACAGUGUUUAGUGUUCUGAGUGAAGAGGAGGCUGGGGAGCUAGCCCUCGGGUUUGCCGGAAGAUUGGCCUGCGAUGUCACAACAGACAUGGUCUGUAAAGGCAUCGACCAUUCAAGUGCUGAUAUGACAAAACAGACUCUUCUCAAAAUCCAACACAACCUUAAACAUGAGCUGACUGAUUCCUCAACCUUCAGUUUGCUGACACACACCUUUGGCCCCGCUGCACUGGAUUCUGUCAUUUCAUUCCUGUGUGAAAAACUUGAUCUUGUCUCUUAAAUAAUGAAACCUUUUGUGACUUUUGUUUGUUCUGUAAAUCAGAAUCUUGAAAAUUGUUCAUUGUUGUUCUAAGUUUGUGUUAACUAUUUGGCAAAAAUGAUUGGUUCCUAAUCCAAACAGCAUAAUGACUGUUCUAACACAUAUCUUAAAAAUGCUAC
Astatotilapia calliptera (eastern happy) is the source of this 2781-nucleotide long non-coding RNA. The record is from Ensembl. Lineage: Eukaryota; Metazoa; Chordata; Actinopteri; Cichliformes; Cichlidae.